Molecule: ribosomal RNA, 766 nt
Filed under: uncultured Flavobacteriales bacterium
Lineage: Bacteria; Pseudomonadati; Bacteroidota; Flavobacteriia; Flavobacteriales
Description: bacterial SSU rRNA
Rfam family: Bacterial small subunit ribosomal RNA
Source: RNAcentral
UGCAGUCGAACGGUAACAUGAGAGCUUGCUCUUGAUGACGAGUGGCGCACGGGUGCGUAACGCGUAUGCAAUCUACCUAUAACUGAGGAAUAGCCCAGAGAAAUUUGGAUUAAUACCUCAUAAUAAUAUUUUCUGGCAUCAUUAAAUAUUUAAAACUUUGGUGGUUAUAGAUGAGCAUGCGUUCUAUUAGUUUGUUGGUGAGGUAAAAGCUCACCAAGACUACGAUAGAUAGGGGGCCUGAAAGGGUGAUCCCCCACACUGGUACUGAGACACGGACCAGACUCCUACGGGAGGCAGCAGUGAGGAAUAUUGCACAAUGGAGGAAACUCUGAUGCAGCCAUGCCGCGUGCAGGAUGACGGCCCUAUGGGUUGUAAACUGCUUUUUUACAAGAAGAAACCUUGGUACGUGUACCAACUUGACGGUAUUGUAAGAAUAAGCACCGGCUAACUCCGUGCCAGCAGCCGCGGUAAUACGGAGGGUGCAAGCGUUAUCCGGAUUUAUUAGGUUUAAAGGGUUCGCAGGCGGAAUUUUAAGUCAGUGGUGAAAGCCUAUAGCUCAACUAUAGAACUGCCACUGAUACUGAUAUUCUUGAGUGUAGAUGAAGUGGGCGGAAUAUGUCAUGUAGCGGUGAAAUGCAUAGAUAUGACAUGGAACACCAAUUGCGAAGGCAGCUCACUAAACUAUUACUGACGCUCAUGAACGAAAGCAUGGGGAGCGAACAGGAUUAGAUACCCUGGUAGUCCAUGCCGUAAACUAUGAUCACUA